RNAcentral lists this ribosomal RNA (422 nucleotides) under uncultured Rikenellaceae bacterium. RNAcentral's name for it is "partial 16S ribosomal RNA". It matches the Rfam family "Bacterial small subunit ribosomal RNA", at positions 355 to 774 of the family's 1533-position model. The record is from RNAcentral. Lineage: Bacteria; Pseudomonadati; Bacteroidota; Bacteroidia; Bacteroidales; Rikenellaceae.
UGAGGAAUAUUGGUCAAUGGGCGCAAGCCUGAACCAGCCAUGCCGCGUGCAGGAAGACGGCUCUAUGAGUUGUAAACUGCUUUUGUACGAGGGUAAAGGACGCUACGAGUAGUGUUUUGAAAGUAUCGUACGAAUAAGGAUCGGCUAACUCCGUGCCAGCAGCCGCGGUAAUACGGAGGAUUCGAGCGUUAUCCGGAUUUAUUGGGUUUAAAGGGUGCGUAGGUGGGACUUUAAGUUAGUCGUUAAAUCGUGGGGCUUAACCUCGCAGUGGCGAUUAAUACUGGAGACCUAGAGAGUAGUUGCUGUGGGCGGAAUGAGUAGUGUAGCGGUGAAAUGCUUAGAUAUUACUCAGAACACCAAUUGCGAAGGCAGCUCACAAAGCUAUAUCUGACACUGAGGCACGAAAGCGUGGGGAUCAAACA